GAGCGCACGGCGCGGCUGCCGGCCCGCGCCCUUAACCCUUGUAUGCACCCGGCCGGAGCAGCGGUCCCUCCAGCGGAGGCCCGGUGCCUCUUCCUAACUGCGGCUCCUGAUCCCGGACGUCGGCCUGAGGGGACUGUGCCUUCCAGGUCUAGAAAUCUGCAGCAGGAAUGGGGACGUCUCGGGUCUAUCCCUGGUAGCCGACCUGCUCACUCCUCUCGCAGCUAACGGGGGAUCAUUCAUUUCAUCGGAAGUGAGCUUUUUCCAGGUGAAGGUUAAUAGUUCAGAGCUUAAUCGGGUGCUUUCUUUCGGUGCUCUUGGGAAAGCUGUCUUUGAACAGGAUCGGAAGCUUGCCGGCUUCGUGUGGAACGGGCGGAAGCUUUGCACUACAGAUGACAGAGCAUCAAAUGCACCCUCAGAAGUAACAGGACAGGUUCUUUAAAAGCAAAAGAUCUCAGGCAAAUGAAAACUCGGUGGUAACAGAGCAGUUUCCAAGGCGGCAGACUACGGCUGUAUAGCACCGUUCCCCUGAACCCAAAUCUGAUAUUAUAUUUAUACAAGACUCAGUCAAGCUUUGAAAUGGAGUCAAAUUGAGGAGGAAGGCCCGCUGAGCCUUACUCCUAAUCUGUGUUAUGAAUGAUUUAAACAACGUGAAAAGCUAUGUUAGUACCCUUUAUUUGUUUUUCUAAAGAUUUUUUCAGUGUGUGUAUGUGCGUGUGCGUGCAUGCAUGCGUGUGUCCUGAAACUUUCCAAGUACUCCUUUGAGACAGGGUCUUUACCUGAAUCUGACGAUCAUCUCUUCUCAACUAGGCUAGAAGCCAGCAAACCUAGCCCUUGCCUCUUGCCUCUUCCCUCUCCACGCUGAGGUAAAGGCCUGUGGAAUGCCAGACUCCUUUGAAGAGUGCUGGGGUCCACACUCAGGGCCACCCAGUCCUGCAGCAAGUGCUCUCAAGACCCAGGUCGUGUCUCCAGCCCACCUUGUAUAGAUUUUAAUGUUUUUGUACCAUCUACUUUUGAAAGUUUAAAAUGGACUGGCUACUGUAUAUUAAGUCACAAGACUUUUGUAUAUUACAUUUCUGCGUUUAAAAUUGGAGUCCAAAAUGUCACGGCUCCUACCAUAGCACCACCGUCUGGAGGAGUUUAGACUUCAGAAUCAAGGCUCCUACCCCACGAUGUGCAGUCAGAGUCUGCCUUUGGACUAGCUGCCUGCCGAAGACUGGGCACAUCCCAGCCUGAAGAACACUGAUCUUCAUGGGCUCUGUCUGGGCACAUUUGGCCAUGAUUCAGAACUUAAUUCACCAAUGAAUUACCUUUAUGUUAAUUAUUUUACCCAUGGGGGAAAAAUAACACAUUGCUCCUGGACCUCUGCAUCCCCAAACUUAACCAGUUUAUAGUAGAAAACAAAAUAUUUUUAAAAGCCACCUGGACUGAAUACCUGUAGACUUACCCCUCAUCAUGCUCCACACAGAAUACAGAAUAACAAGUCUUUCCACCACACCAGGGUUCUAUCAGUAAUCUAGAGAUUCCUUAGAACUUAAAGUUAUACUGUAAAUUUAAAUUACUGAUUAUGUUAAAGCAUUAAGAGGAUGUUCAUACACGGUAUGUAAACAUUAUAUAAUACACUUGUACGAUCUAAGAUUUGGGUAUUUAAGAGGAACCCUAAAGCUAGCCUUCCCGUUUGAGGGGUGACUAUAUAUGUGGGAAGGAAAUGGCACUCCUCCAAGAGCCCCAGUUCAUCAGUGAAAGAAACUGGCUUGCAAUGAGUGUGCUGGGGUCUUCACUAGGGAAGUGUUCUCUGAGGCAGUAGAGGGAGCACAAGAGUGCUUAGGACAGCCACUGUACACAGGGCGCUCCAAAGCAUGACAGAUUUUUAAACUGUAGUAUAUGUUUGCAUUGGAAGUAGCCUGUUACGCCAUUCCAAACAAAACAAAACGAAAAAGCUAACAAACACACACUGCCUACCCGAUUACAGCAACUAAAUAAUUGAACAGAUUGCAAAUUACAUAAAAUAAAAGAUACAAGAUAUACUCGUUUCAAGUUCUAGGCUUGCAUUCUUCCAGUGGACUUCAAGAAUCCUGCUUAGGAAAGGUACCUUAUUGCCAAGAAUGCACAAAGCCCCGGUUUGAUGCCCAGCACCACAAUGGGUGUGGCUGGCACACACCUGUACUUUCCGCAGGAGACUGGGAAAUUCCAAAUCAUUGUCCCUCAACUGCAGAGCAAGUUCAAGGACAGUCUAGGAUAGGUGGGCUGUCGUCUUAGGGGGAAAAAAGGCAAAAAGCCUUCCUGGUGGCAUACCUCAAAGGUUAAAAGAACUUACCACCAAGCCCGAGGACCCAGGUUCAGUCCCUGAAUCCACACGGUGGAAGGACAGACCAAGUCCUGCAAGUUUUCCUCUGACUUCCACGGCAGCACUUCGGUGUGAGUGACCCCCCCACACACAUACACCCUCACAAUAUUUAUUGAUAAAACCUGUUUUGAGCAUAUAUUUGAUCUGGCAUCCAUGACAACAUCAGAAAACAAAAAAGAUGACAUGGAACGGAAGAGUUACCCAGAGUCACGACCCUAGCCUCAUCUUUCCAGAAGAGACGAUUGUUGACACUGACCUGAGGCACAGGCUACCUGGUCUGCAUGGACUGUUGAGCCCUUAGAGAACCAGGCCUAAGGCCAGGUCUAAGAACAAGGGCUUCCCCAGGGCUUCUCAGCUCCCUCUGUUGGGCACCAACGCACACAGCAGCUGUCCCCCCCUACAAGUGUCGUGGUAGCUGAAGAUGCAGAGUAGCCAAACAAUAAACUAAUCAGACAGGUAACCAAUCAACCUGAGGCAAGAAACAAACAAACAAAUCUGCUCUUGAUAGUGGAUAUCUAUACCAUCAGAGCGGAGAAAUUUAUACCACAUCCCGACCUUGGAUUUCUCUGGAUUUGGGCAAGUGUUGAAGGUUUUUUGUCUUUCUUCCUAGGUUCUAGAGAUUGAACCUAGGGCUUCAUACAUAAAAAAAAGGCAAGCGCUCUACUACUGAGCCGUAUCUCCAGCAUCGAUUCCCAUCUCUCAAGGAGCAGCUGCGUAUGCCCUAUCUCACCACCAAGCAGGAGAUCUUACCGUCAGGCCCCUGAUCCUGAGGAAGCUACUGUGUUGGAAUAACUGUGACAUGUUUGCCAACCUUCUCACAUCUCGGGAAAUGGCAUCUAUACCAUCUAUAUUCAGUCUUCAGCCCCAAGGCCGUUGGCAUUAUCUAUCUGCUCUCUCAUUGGUACCUCACAUCCAAGCUCUCCAUUGGAUGGAGCUGGCUGGACCUUCAAAAUAUGUCCAGACACUAGUCAUUUCUCUCCACUGAGAUUGCCACCAUCAGAGCUAACCCACCAUCAGGAAUGUUGCAAUAGCCGCCUCCAGUCUCUUUGAUGUCUCUGCAACUUGGUUCAUUCUUGGACUACAUCUUGGUCUUCAUCUUGGUCCACUGUGUGGAGCUGGUGAAUCUGUGCUGCCUUUAUAGGUGCUUCUUUAUACUCAGAGGCAGGCCACAGCACUCCCAUGUCUGCCAGACUCUCCAUGAUCUCAGCUCCUCUGAUCUUCUCAGCCACCAUCAUUGCCCCAACACCUUUAGCCCUACGGCUCUAUGAUGAAGCCAGGCAUACUCUGCCAUGGGCCCAGGCUCUCUGCUCUGUUCCCGGUUCUGGAAUGAUUUGCCCUUAGACAGUCAAAGCUGCCAUGGCUCCAAGUCUGCAGUCCCUUUUUGUCCCUGAGGAGCCACCAUCAGUGUGGCGUGUUUAGACCACCACACACUAGUUGUAGCCUUUCCGCUUCCUUGAGUGCUUAGUACGUGAAUGUGUUAUCCAAUGAUACCAAAUAAAUAUUUGCUACUUGUUUUUUUUUUUUUUUUUUUUUUUUUUUUUGUCAGGAAGGGAUGGAUUUCUGUCAGUAUCACCUGGGAUUGUUCUUGGCUAAUGAUAGAUAGCCAAUAAAUAUUCACUGAUUCUUCAAUGAA
Alexandromys fortis (reed vole) is the source of this 3977-nucleotide long non-coding RNA. RefSeq lists it as uncharacterized. NCBI's taxonomy places the organism in Eukaryota, Metazoa, Chordata, Mammalia, Rodentia, Cricetidae. The record is from RefSeq and is a predicted model, not a curated record. The transcript is spliced from 5 exons.